This 376-nucleotide ribosomal RNA is filed under the name uncultured bacterium. RNAcentral describes it as "bacterial SSU rRNA". It matches the Rfam family "Bacterial small subunit ribosomal RNA", at positions 523 to 898 of the family's 1533-position model. The record is from RNAcentral.
AUACGUAGGUGGCGAGCGUUGUCCGGAAUUACUGGGCGUAAAGGGUGCGUAGGCGGUAUAUUAAGUCAGAUGUGAAAUUCCAGGGCUCAACCCUGGAACUGCAUUUGAAACUGGGAUACUAGAGUGCAGGAGAGGAAAGCGGAAUUCCUAGUGUAGCGGUGAAAUGCGUAGAUAUUAGGAAGAACACCAGUGGCGAAGGCGGCUUUCUGGACUGUAACUGACGCUGAGGCACGAAAGCGUGGGGAGCAAACAGGAUUAGAUACCCUGGUAGUCCACGCCGUAAACUAUGAGUGCUAGGUGUAGGGGAUGUCAUGUCCUCUGUGCCGCAGUAAACGCAAUAAGCACUCCGCCUGGGGAGUACGGUCGCAAGACUAAA